GCGCCCCUAGCUCAAUGGAUAGAGCAGGCGGUUUCUACCCGCCCGAUGUGGUUCCUACAGGGCGCGCCA
This 69-nucleotide transfer RNA is filed under the name Pseudomonas aeruginosa. RNAcentral describes it as "tRNA-Arg". RNAcentral also lists the same sequence under 2 other names. Lineage: Bacteria; Pseudomonadati; Pseudomonadota; Gammaproteobacteria; Pseudomonadales; Pseudomonadaceae. The record is from RNAcentral.